Long non-coding RNA from Dicentrarchus labrax (European seabass), 5600 nucleotides. RefSeq lists it as uncharacterized. The record is from RefSeq and is a predicted model, not a curated record. The transcript has 2 exons. NCBI's taxonomy places the organism in Eukaryota, Metazoa, Chordata, Actinopteri, Moronidae.
CCUGCUGCUGUUGGAUAAUGGGAAAUACUGUAUAGCUUGAAAGUAUAUUUUUCUUCAGAAAUGAUGUAAAUAGCCUUACUUUUAGACUGAUGAUCUUAGAUAAAGUGUAAGCUUUAGUUUGAGUUUUGAAAGGGAAUUUGCAUGGGAUUCUUAGGGAACACAAAAUUAUUUCUUUAUUUAAAGAUUGAAAUGACAUCACAAAUAUGUCUGAUAACUCCUUUUAUUCAGUUCUACAGUGCAACAAUGUUAAAAGAAAAGCCACAAAAUUAAGGUUUAACACAAUAACAAGAAGGGACUUCAAGAAUGAAGAUCUUACUUAAAAUAGGCCAACUGGAAGACUUCAUACCGACCAAAUAAGACCACACACAGACAGAUACUAUGCAUGUAUACACUUUGUACCACAUUUUAUCAGACAGAUCAUCAUCAUCAUCGUCUUAUAAAACAAAGCAUACUUUUAUGUUACCCAGAUAAGUUGCCAUAUCACUUACAGUACAGUAUGUCUCAUUUAAGAAGGACUUAAUUCAUUCUCUCAGAUUUCCAGCAACCAGCAACUUCAAUCACAAUCCGUACAUUAUUCCAAUAGCCUGAAACUAUAGGAGCUUACUAUUAAAUUGACACUACAUCAGCUGCUUCCUUAAGGACAGAGAAACUACAUUCAGACAAACUUGUACUCAGGUCUGCCCUUUAUAGUUUGAGAUUUUAAAUGGGUCACCGAGAUUUUUUAUUUGAUCCUGCAAGUGAAAACAAUAUUAACAUUUUUUAAUGAGCAGUGGCCCUAUAGCACAAUACUAAAUUUAUUCAUUGUGGAUUCCAGGCUAAAAAAAAGCUGUGUCCUUAAAAUAACAGUACUAUGCUUGCCAAUGGUCAGUUGGUUACGCAAGCCAUGCUGGUGUUAUAUAAACCCAUACAGCACUGGUUACACCACAAGCUCAGCAGAGGUCAACCUCAGAAUUAUAAGGAUUAGACAAGAUCAUAGCUUGAUCUCUUGGUGGAUUCAGAAACCAGAGAGAGAUCCACAGUUAGGGUUAGGGUUAAGUUAGUUUUGCGUCCUACAAUAACCUGUUACAUCCUCAUGAUGCUCGAUCAAAGCACUGAACUCCAACCUGUAUUGUCUAUACUAGUCUUUUCUAUUCUAUUAUUUUUAUUCUUACAUUUAAAGCACCCAGUAUAUUUGCUUGACUAACUCUGAAUCCCCUAUGCCUGUCCCCUUAGUUACUGUGGCUACACCUGCAAAGCUCCAUUCAUGGCACACAUGCAGUUUUACAAUGAAGACUUACUCAAAAUUAUUCUCAGUUCAAUUCUCAGUUCUAAUUAAGCUAACAUUAGCUCCAUCAGUUGGUGGAAAAUGCAAUUUCCACCAACUCUCUGGCAUUUUAAUGAAUUGAGAUGACUCGUUUCAAAACAUGAAGCUUAAAGCUUAAAAAUGCACUUAGAGGUUACAUACAUAUAUUGAGACUAAAGACUGAGGCUAAGCUGAUUAUGUUGCAAGCAAAAAGUCUGCAUCCUCACCAGUUGAUGAUCCAGUGAAAAGACAUGGAAAUAAAGACACAGCAUUGUUCAUAUGAAAUGAAGAAAUAGUUAGUAUUAUAAGGAAAAAUUCAGAUUAAAGUCAUUCGGCUUAACUCAUUCUGUGUUACUAACUAAUCUAGGUGUUAGUAAUGAUAUCCCUGAUAAGGAGCCUGGGGUUGAUAGAGUGUAAACUUUCCCAUAUAAAGAACAGGACAGAGAUGCUAACAUUUACUCUGAUAUAGCAUCCGGAAUCGACUUUCACACAGUGGGAAAAUAGUACACAGUGGAUUUAAUGUGGUAUGCAAUGCUCCUUGGCCUUGGAGGUAACGCUUAGGUAAUAUACUAAAGCUUGCAGCUUGUGUUAAAGCAGACAAACAUACUGUUUAAUCCAUUCCUUACACUGUCUAAACUUUAUAUAUCAAGUAUUUCUCUUACUAUAGCACCAUGUACACUGUUUCGGGAUGUUGAGAAACCAAAAGCUUGACAGGCCUGCUGUGCCUAGUUAUGGUUGCUAAGCUAUGAUUGGACAAUUGCUGUGCGGGGGAGGGGGUAAUGAGUGGUCAGUUAUGACAAUGUCAUGCCAUGACUAAAGCUUCUUUUUUAAAUUGUUUCCAUUACUUCUUUAUAGUGUCCACACACAUCCACACUGAGAGCUAAUUUAAAAUCUCCAGUUCAUUGACAUGAAUGUCUUUCUCUCUUCUUCUUUGAAGAAACUGUAGCACCCUUUAAAAAGCCCAGAGGAAACAAAUUCCAUGUAGGAAGAAGCAGGGCUCAGCUGUGAUUGAGCAGUGAUUUGUUGAAAUUUAACAAGCAAGGAAGGUCACGCAGGGGCAUUCUGUCAGGGUUACUUUUUCCCCAUUAUAAGGAUAAAUACAUCAUUAAAAAGUGUAGUGACACUCUCUUUCAGCUCCCUCCAAAUCACUCUUAGAUUGUUCGUAAGGAAAUGAAGGAAUGAAGUGGCAAGGGUGGGAGAAGAAAAGGCAGAGAGAGAGGAGGUGGAGAUACAGAACGUGAAGGAAAAGGGUAGAUCAUUUCAGGGGAAGUCAAAAAGCAAAUUGAAGGAAAAAAAGAAUAAAACGAUAGCAUUGUUCAUCAGCCUGUUGCAGACUUUGUCUUCCUGCAGUUUGCUGUGACAAAAAACAAUGCUGAUGGAAGCAGUGAGACUGAAUCAAAACUGUAAAGUUGUGGACCAGUAUACCAGAACAAGGAUCCGAAAGAUGCUAUAAAUCUCCAUGGAGCUGAGGGGAACUGCGGGGUAAUAAUUCUGUGACAUUCUAGUAUUCCAAAACCCAAAUAGUCUAAAAAAAUUUACCAUCGGACCCAAAGCCCAUUCAUCUGACAAUCAAUGCUCAUUCAAAGGCCUGUUGUUCCGAAAAUUCACACCCUGGUAUCACCAACUUACAUACGUAACUUAACUGACUAAACUAACAUAGUUAUUUAACCCCAAAUCAUUAUUAUCAUGUUUUUGGAAAAAACUGGCCUUCAAAGCCAACAGCAGCUUUUAUAUGAAAUUAAAUAUGUGAGGCCAUCAAGUACUAUGUGAAACAGAAAUCCUUUGAAAUCAACACAGUCAGUAGUGGUAGUUCUAUACGUACCCGUGCCACCAUGCCGCCUCAGAUGACUUAUAAACAUAUUUAUCUGCAUCAUGUAGUUUUAACCCAGUCAGAAUAGAUCAUUCAGCCAGUGUCUUCCACUGUAUGUGUUUAUCUCUAUCUCCCAGUUGAGAUCCAGGCUGUGUGAACUGUCUCAUCAUCCUGUCAGUCCCCGGCAGAGUAAUGAGAUGUAAUGCGCCUCUCGAGCUUACUAUCCGGUUUUUCCUUUUUUCCCUCCCUCGCUUGAUAUCCCAGAGGGAAGUGUGCCCCAGCGGUUACUGGAGCAGUCAGAGCGGAUUGAAUCUCUGUGGUUCACUUUAUUAGAAGAUGAUUUUACAGACAGAAUAGAGCUAACUUCAGCCAUAGAGAAAUAAUGUGUAACAUUAGUCAUCUGAGAUAAAAAGUGGCAAUGAGUGACACAUAAAGUGAAAAAGGAAGAUGAGAGGAACGAUAAUUAGUCAGGAAAUGCUCAUUUUCAUUUGACAAGGAAAGAGACUAUGUAUAUGAGUCGGAAAUGAGUGGAAAGGAUAGACGGUGGGUAAGAGGGGACAAAGGCAGAAUGGAGAGGAAAGAGGUGGUGGAGGAUGUUUGACAGAUAAAAGAGCAUUAAUAGUAGAGAAUGAGAAUGAAUUAGUAAAGUAGAGAAAGGACACAUGAGUGUAUGACAAGAGAAAAAUCAACGACACAGGAGAAGUUAAGUGUACAGGUUUAAAAGAAAGGAAAGACAGAUUCUGAGCAUUAUUAAUGCCAGCAAAUACUUUCAUGUUAUUUGAUUCAUAUGGCUGAUUUUUAUGUCAGAAAGCAAAAGAAAUCCAUCUUUUAAGCAUACAGGAAAAAACCUUUUAAACUACCAAGUUUAACUAUGUAGUUAAAACUAGAAGUCAUCAGUCCUCACCAAUACCAGCAACCAUACAGGACAUAUUCACAAUAAUUACAAUAGACUGUGUGUUUGUGGUCUUUGUUUGGUUGGUCGAGGUGUCCACUGUUCACCACCUGCACUUUACCUCAUCCAGCUCCUUCACUAUCCAAUCAGCAGCCAGUUUCUGUAGAGGCAUGGACCUACAUUAUCAACCAAUUAGACAUCAUCAGUGUGUAUCUACCCGGUGAUCCCAAGCUCUUGGAACUGACUCAGUGGACUACACAAAGAAGAAAGCAUGUAAACAUAUGUUACUAUGGACAAGACAAUCUAUAACACCCUCCACCCUGACAGUUAUUCCCUCCAUCUUACUGCUGACAAGACCUGUCUGCACAGUCACAUGGAAGUGAAGGACAACAUCUGUGCUGCAGUCCAACUCCAGAUGCCUGUUGCCAACCCAGUAACCCCAGCGAAUACACAAACCAGACAGGAGAGAUCCACACAGUCAAUCUUUAAGGAAGAAGGACUGCAAACAACAGCUUGGAAAGGAGACUCAUCUGUUUUCCCCAAAACAAACUACAAAAAAAACUACAUUGAAAAUCUUUCCUGGAUUAUAAGAAAAAAGGUACAUGAAGAUACAGAUGUUUCAGGAUGAUGUUCUUCACCAUCAUACAGUAUGGAUUUGCAAGGAGAAUGUGUAAAAACUGCGGCGGGGUGACAUGAGGAUCUUUUCCGGAUGAGAAGACUGAUACAAAAGGAAAAGUAACAACAGCCUAUGAUGGACAAAUGUCUCCUAAAGGUCGUAUUUGGUUGCAGGCCCACAUCAUACUCUCAUCGACAACCCCAAUGAUAAAGAAAUGUUUGAAGAUCCCUUCCUUCCCCAAAUAUCCAAUACCAAGGGGGUACUGAGUUAUUAGGAUAUUUGGGAAAUGUAGUUGCACAGUUCAAAGUGCUUCACCAUUCAAAUGACACAAAUCCACAUAAAGACUUUGCUGUUUGGAGAAGACAAUAAAAUAAGCUCGACUGGCUGUAACUACAGAUUUCUUGUGAGGACAAUUUGAGACUGGCAGGUCAGAGUUGUACAGAUAAAACAUCCAAACUCUGAUGCAACUUGAAUUCAAAAUGUGUUUCCUAUUUGAACAAAAAUGAACACACUGGUGUUUAAUCUUACAGAUGGUUUGAACGGACUACUGUACGAAUAUGAAACAGUAUGACUGUAAACUUGUGCAGCAUUGUAUGAAUGAUGGUUUUCUGGAGGAGGAGCAAUGUUGAUAUGCUACCACUGCAUGGCGACUAGCGGAUUUCUUUCCUUCAACUGUCCUCCUUGAUGGAGUAAACAAUUUGCCUCCUGUCAGUCAUUUGCACUUAAAAACAAAGCAAAACAAACUGCACUCUUAGAUAUAUUAGUUAAUAUAUGUGUCAGGUUUUGGCUUUAGGUUUCAAUCUAUAUUUAUAUAAUAUGUUUUUAAUCUAUAUCUUAGUUUGAAGUUUUAUUUGAGGACUUCCUCUCUUUGUACAUUUUCAUUCAUGCCAUAAAUCAUAUUUACUCGACUUCAAAGGACAUUUUGUAAAGUUGGACCUUUCUACUGUAUGACAUUGACUUUUCUGUAAUAUAACUUCAUUAAAUUAAUAGGAAUAUGCGA